This 301-nucleotide ribosomal RNA is filed under the name uncultured bacterium. RNAcentral's name for it is "partial 16S ribosomal RNA". It matches the Rfam family "Bacterial small subunit ribosomal RNA", at positions 509 to 807 of the family's 1533-position model. The record is from RNAcentral.
CAGCAGCCGCGGGAAUACGAAGGGGGCUAGCGUUGCUCGGAAUGACUGGGCGUAAAGGGCGCGUAGGCGGUUCACGCAGUCAGAUGUGAAAUUCCUGGGCUUAACCUGGGGGCUGCAUUUGAGACGCGUGGGCUUGAGUGUGAAAGAGGGUCGUGGAAUUCCCAGUGUAGAGGUGAAAUUCGUAGAUAUUGGGAAGAACACCGGUGGCGAAGGCGGCGACCUGGUUCAUAACUGACGCUGAGGCGCGAAAGCGUGGGGAGCAAACAGGAUUAGAUACCCGAGUAGUCCCUGUCUCUUAUAC